UCAAUAUAAAAAUUAAGCUACCAAAGUUUAAAAAUGGUGUCUACCAACUAAAGUCUUGCCAUAUUAUAGACACGUUAUUCUGUGUCUCGGUUAUUUUUCUUUACUAUUGCACUGAAUUUAAAAAGCAUUAAAAUAAUUUAAAAAUAGGUUAAAAAUAUAUUCUCGGUGAAUAAUUUUGUUACUAUAGCACAAUCCCUGGCACACCACUACUUAGGAGCAGUAAACGAUUGUGAAACAUAAAUAAACUAAACCGAAAGUGAUAUACAUUGGAUGAUAAUUAUUUCAUAAAUGGAUACACAAAUCUGUACUAAUUAUAUUUCAAAAACACUACUAAACUAAACAUGAACACAUAUAAUUAAUCAUAUAAUGGUCUACAUUGUUUCAUCUUGUGCUCGAUUUGAUAUGUUUCAACUACUUUUAUUGUCUAUCUAAUUUCAAUCGUAUGUUUCUACACGUGUAUAUACAUGUAUAACGCGUAAUACGCAUGUUCAAUAAUUAAUCAUAUCACUUGUUUUACACUUAGAUACAUUUUGUUUUCACACGUUAACUAACGACUUUAUUCACAGAUAAGAUAAAUUAUGGUGUAAUAGACGAACCCUGGAGUUAAUAUUUAAUACCAUACUGUUUACAUCAUUCUAAUCGUUUAAACGCAUCUUGCAGCAUCUCGAACAUUUAAACCGAUCUUAACGUUUCUCAUUGACUCUCAAUAACACAGCAAAUUAUAAAAAUGUAUAAAAUUACGAUUUUCAUCGCCAUGGUAGUUCUGACCCUUCAUUUUUCAAACAGUUUACCGCUUGACAAUGAUCAGAGCGAACCUACAGUUGAAACACUACCCGUUGAGUCGUCGGCCCCUAACAGCGCUGAGCCUGAGGAACCUCUACCCUCAUCAACAAUAAAACUAUCAAAAACCGAAUCAACUCUACACACUCUACAAUCGUCAAGUUCGAAACAAUUAUAUUUUACAAGUGGUCUACUUUUACUAACAUUCGCUUCGAUUUUCAUUUAAACACUUACAACAAAAUGUAUUAAUAACUAAAAUACUGAUGAUUAAAAUAAGCUUAUUACUUAACACGUAAGACUUGAUGCUUUAAUUUUCUAUAUUAUCGACGUUAUUGCUAAUCAAAAUAUUUUACGUAAUACUCCAAUUACGUUUUCCUAUAUGUUACAUGUACGAAAAAUAGUUUAAAUUAAUUAGCAUAAUAAAAUCUUUAAAAACUGACUGUUAAAUAUAACUAAGUUGUUUUUUUAUGUAAUUUUAACUAGAAAACAAUAAUUAAAUGUUAUGUUUUAAUAAUUAUUUUUAUUGAAUAUAAAUAAAAUAGUUAAAUGUUGCA
Molecule: long non-coding RNA, 1334 nt
Organism: Daktulosphaira vitifoliae (grape phylloxera)
Lineage: Eukaryota; Metazoa; Arthropoda; Insecta; Hemiptera; Phylloxeridae
Exons: 2
Source: RefSeq, a predicted model, not a curated record